Molecule: small RNA, 584 nt
Filed under: Arabidopsis thaliana (thale cress)
Lineage: Eukaryota; Viridiplantae; Streptophyta; Magnoliopsida; Brassicales; Brassicaceae
Description: ATSL269080
Source: RNAcentral
CUUGGAGAAGCAAGAAGCAGUUGGUUAGUGUUUUGGAGUCGAAUAUGACUUGAUGUCAUGUGUAUGAGUGAGUAUAAACACUAGAACCGCAACGGAUCUUAAAAGCCUAAAUAUUGUAUCCUUGUUAGAAGAUACAUAGACAAAGACUCAUACAGAAUUCGGCUAAACCAUCAAAGCUUUUAGAAGCAAGAAGAAGCUUGGUUAGUGUUUUGGAGUGAAAUAUGACUAGAUGUCAUGUGUAUGAGUGAGUAUACCAACUAGAACCACAAUUGGAAUUUUAAAAGCCUAAGUAUUGUAUCCUUGUUAGAAGAUACAAAGACAAACACUCAUACGGACUUUGGCUACAUCAUCAAAGCUUUGAGAAGCAAGAAGAAGCUUGGUUAGUGUUUUGGAGUCGAAUAUGACUUGAUGUGAUGUGUAUGAUUGAGUAUAAGAAAUUAAACCACAACCGGAUCUUAAAAGCCUAAGUAGUGUUUCCUUGUUAGAAGAUACAAAGGCAAAGCCUCAUACGGACUUUAGCUAUACCAUCAAAGCCUUGAGAAGCAAGAAGAAGCUUUGUUAGUGUUUUGGAGCCAAAUAUGACU